AUGCAACUCGAGCGAAUGGAUUAAGAGCUUGCUCUUAUGAAGUUAGCGGCGGACGGGUGAGUAACACGUGGGUAACCUGCCCAUAAGACUGGGAUAACUCCGGGAAACCGGGGCUAAUACCGGAUAACAUUUUGAACUGCAUGGUUCGAAAUUGAAAGGCGGCUUCGGCUGUCACUUAUGGAUGGACCCGCGUCGCAUUAGCUAGUUGGUGAGGUAACGGCUCACCAAGGCAACGAUGCGUAGCCGACCUGAGAGGGUGAUCGGCCACACUGGGACUGAGACACGGCCCAGACUCCUACGGGAGGCAGCAGUAGGGAAUCUUCCGCAAUGGACGAAAGUCUGACGGAGCAACGCCGCGUGAGUGAUGAAGGCUUUCGGGUCGUAAAACUCUGUUGUUAGGGAAGAACAAGUGCUAGUUGAAUAAGCUGGCACCUUGACGGUACCUAACCAGAAAGCCACGGCUAACUACGUGCCAGCAGCCGCGGUAAUACGUAGGUGGCAAGCGUUAUCCGGAAUUAUUGGGCGUAAAGCGCGCGCAGGUGGUUUCUUAAGUCUGAUGUGAAAGCCCACGGCUCAACCGUGGAGGGUCAUUGGAAACUGGGAGACUUGAGUGCAGAAGAGGAAAGUGGAAUUCCAUGUGUAGCGGUGAAAUGCGUAGAGAUAUGGAGGAACACCAGUGGCGAAGGCGACUUUCUGGUCUGUAACUGACACUGAGCGCGAAAGCGUGGGGAGCUAACAGGAUGAGAUACC
RNAcentral lists this ribosomal RNA (750 nucleotides) under Bacillus sp. Bac49W4. RNAcentral's name for it is "bacterial SSU rRNA". It matches the Rfam family "Bacterial small subunit ribosomal RNA", at positions 55 to 786 of the family's 1533-position model. Lineage: Bacteria; Bacillati; Bacillota; Bacilli; Caryophanales; Bacillaceae. The record is from RNAcentral.